AUCUACGGCCAUACCACGUUGAAAGCACCAGUUCUCGUCCGAUCACUGAAGUUAAGCAACGUCGGGCUCGGUUAGUACUUGGAUGGGUGACCGCCUGGGAACACCGAGUGCUGUAGACU
RNAcentral lists this ribosomal RNA (119 nucleotides) under Lottia gigantea (owl limpet). Lineage: Eukaryota; Metazoa; Mollusca; Gastropoda; Lottiidae. The record is from RNAcentral.